GAUCUGGCUCAGGAUGAACGCUAGCUACAGGCUUAACACAUGCAAGUCGAGGGGAAACGACAUCGAAAGCUUGCUUUUGAUGGGUGUCGACCGGCGCACGGGUGAGUAACGCGUAUCCAACCUGCCCACCACCUGGGGAUAACCUUGCGAAAGUAAGACUAAUACCCAAUGAUAUCUCUAGAAGACAUCUGAAGGAGAUUAAAGAUUUAUCGGUGAUGGAUGGGGAUGCGUCUGAUUAG
RNAcentral lists this ribosomal RNA (239 nucleotides) under uncultured bacterium. RNAcentral's name for it is "partial 16S ribosomal RNA". It matches the Rfam family "Bacterial small subunit ribosomal RNA", at positions 15 to 244 of the family's 1533-position model. The record is from RNAcentral.